AUAAACCAAGUACCCACUUUAUGACUUAAAAAACUUCAAGAACCAACACCGAAGCUAGGCAUAUAGAGGUGAUUAUGGUUAAAUUGAUCAGCACGAAAAAUAUAACACGGCAAAUUUGGCACAUAAUGCACUUGUCGAUCUCUGGCUUUCCUGGUCAGCAAAUACAUGCGUUGUUCACACGUGGAAAGAUAUGAGGCCUGUGUCUUUAUUCAUGGAUAUACGUACAUAAAGAUAUACAUAUAUAUACAUACAUACAUACAUAUAACAAUGCUAAACGAAGAAGUUGGUUGCCUUUGGAUUAGAAAAGUGCAUACCUUACUCUUUGUUGGCCUCCUCAAAAAAUCAGAGCUUCCAAAAAUGCAAGAUGAUACCACAACUUUGCAAGUAGCCAUGUAUUCUUUGUCCUUCUCAUGCAAAUCAAAUCCAGUGCUAGGGAAUCCCUCUGGUCCUUUGACAAAACCACAAUGAAGUGUUUGACUUCUAGCAUAGUAUGAGUUCUCUCUUUGUUUAAGGGUCUGAUGUCCA
Molecule: long non-coding RNA, 525 nt
Filed under: Phoenix dactylifera (date palm)
Lineage: Eukaryota; Viridiplantae; Streptophyta; Magnoliopsida; Arecales; Arecaceae
Description: long non-coding RNA (PDAC_LNC016638)
Source: RNAcentral